CCUACGGGGGGCAGCAGUAGGGAAUCUUUCACAAUGGGCGAAAGCCUGAUGGAGCAACGCCGCGUGCAGGAUGAAGGCCUUCGGGUUGUAAACUGCUUUUAUAAGCGAGAAAGAUGAUGGUAACUUAUGAAUAAGGAUCGGCUAACUACGUGCCAGCAGCCGCGGUCAUACGUAGGAUCCGAGCAUUAUCCGGAGUGACUGGGUGUAAAGAGUUGCGUAGGUGGCAUAAUAAGUAGCUAGUGAAAUCUGGUGGCUCAACCAUUCAGACUAUUAGCUAAACUGUUAAGCUCGAGACCGUUAGGGGUAACUGGAAUUUCUAGUGUAGGAGUGAAAUCCGUAGAUAUUAGAAGGAACACCAAUAGCGUAGGCAGGUUGCUGGGACGGUUCUGACACUAAGGCACGAAAGCGUAGGGAGCAAACGGGAUUAGAUACCCGAGUAGUC
RNAcentral lists this ribosomal RNA (442 nucleotides) under uncultured bacterium. RNAcentral describes it as "partial 16S ribosomal RNA". It matches the Rfam family "Bacterial small subunit ribosomal RNA", at positions 338 to 795 of the family's 1533-position model. The record is from RNAcentral.